GGGGCCUGAGUGCACUAGAUGGUGAGCAAGAUGGUGUCACAGUCACAACUCCUCAUCUUCCUGGUGCUCUGGGUCUCAGGUACCAGUGGGGAUACCGUGAUGACCCAGUCUCCAGACUCUGUGGUUGGGUCUCCAGGAGAAACCAUCAGCAUGAGCUGCAAGUCCAAUGAGAGUGUUAGCGACUAUGUAGCCUGGUACCAGCAGAAACCUGGAGAGGUUCCUAAACUGCUCAUCUAUGAUGCAGAUAACCAGGCAUCUGGGGUCCCUGACCGAUUCAGUGGCAGUGGGUCAGGGAGAGAUUUCACUUUCACCAUCACCAGUGUCCAGCCUGAGGAUGCAGGACAUUAUUACUGUCAGCAAGAUUACAGCACUCCUCCCACAGUGCUUCAGCCCCAAACAAAAACCUCCUUCCCAGGGCUGUAGGUCUGUGAGUCCAGUAGCACCAGCUGCUUCCUCCUCAGAGA
Molecule: non-coding RNA, 464 nt
Organism: Choloepus didactylus (southern two-toed sloth)
Lineage: Eukaryota; Metazoa; Chordata; Mammalia; Pilosa; Megalonychidae
Source: the annotation of a RefSeq genome assembly